Molecule: ribosomal RNA, 254 nt
Filed under: uncultured bacterium
Lineage: Bacteria
Description: partial 16S ribosomal RNA
Rfam family: Bacterial small subunit ribosomal RNA
Source: RNAcentral
UACGGAAGGGGCUAGCGUUGUUCGGAAUCACUGGGCGUAAAGCGCGCGUAGGCGGCCUUGCAAGUGCGGCGUGAAAGUCCUGGGCUCAACCUGGGGACGGCGCCGCGGACUGUUAUGGCUGGAGUCCGGAAGAGGGUGGUGGAAUUCCGAGUGUAGAGGUGAAAUUCGUAGAUAUUCGGAGGAACACCGGUGGCGAAGGCGGCCACCUGGUCCGGUACUGACGCUGAAGCGCGAAAGCGUGGGGAGCAAACAGG